UUCCGGUUGAUCCUGGCAGAGGUCACUGCUAUCGGGGUUCGAUUAAGCCAUGCGAGUCGAGAGGGUUCGGCCCUCGGCGUACUGCUCAGUAACACGUGGAUAACCUGCCCUAGGGAAGGGGAUAACCCCGGGAAACUGGGGAUAAUACCCUAUAGGUUACAGAUGCUGGAAUGCUCUGUAACCCAAAGUUCCGGCGCCCUAGGAUGGAUCUGCGGCCGAUUAGGUUGUUGUUGGGGUAAUGCCCAACAAGCCAGUAAUCGGUACGGGUUGUGGGAGCAAGAGCCCGGAGUUGGAUUCUGAGACACGAAUCCAGGCCCUACGGGGCGCAGCAGGCGCGAAAACUUUACAAUGCGGGCAACCGUGAUAAGGGAACCUCGAGUGCCUGUAAAUGCAGGCUGUUUAGGUGUUUAAAA
This 413-nucleotide ribosomal RNA is filed under the name uncultured Methanoculleus sp. RNAcentral describes it as "bacterial SSU rRNA". It matches the Rfam family "Archaeal small subunit ribosomal RNA", at positions 1 to 424 of the family's 1478-position model. The record is from RNAcentral. Lineage: Archaea; Methanobacteriati; Methanobacteriota; Methanomicrobia; Methanomicrobiales; Methanomicrobiaceae.